AUUGAACGCUGGCGGCAGGCCUAACACAUGCAAGUCGAACGGUAACAGGGAUCAGCUUGCUGAUUCGCUGACGAGUGGCGGACGGGUGGGUAAUGUCUGGGAAACUGCCUGAUGGAGGGGGAUAACUACUGGAAACGGUAGCUAAUACCGCAUAACGUCGCAAGACCAAAGAGGGGGACCUUCGGGCCUCUUGCCAUCGGAUGUGCCCCGAUGGGAUUAGCUAGUAGGUGGGGUAACGGCUCACCUAGGCGACGAUCCCUAGCUGGUCUGAGAGGAUGACCAGCCACACUGGAACUGAGACACGGUCCAGACUCCUACGGGAGGCAGCAGUGGGGAAUAUUGCACAAUGGGCGCAAGCCUGAUGCAGCCAUGCCGCGUGUAUGAAGAAGGCCUUCGGGUUGUAAAGUACUUUCAGCGGGGAGGAAGGGAGUAAAGUUAAUACCUUUGCUCAUUGACGGUACCCGCAGAAGAAGCACCGGCUAACUCCGUG
This 490-nucleotide ribosomal RNA is filed under the name uncultured bacterium. RNAcentral describes it as "partial 16S ribosomal RNA". It matches the Rfam family "Bacterial small subunit ribosomal RNA", at positions 30 to 507 of the family's 1533-position model. The record is from RNAcentral.